AGAUUGAACGCUGGCGGCAUGCUUUACACAUGCAAGUCGAACGGUAACAGGCCGCAAGGUGCUGACGAGUGGCGAACGGGUGAGUAAUGUAUCGGAACGUGCCCAGUCGUGGGGGAUAACGCAGCGAAAGCUGCGCUAAUACCGCAUACGAUCUAUGGAUGAAAGCGGGGGACCGUAAGGCCUCGCGCGAUUGGAGCGGCCGAUAUCAGAUUAGGUAGUUGGUGGGGUAAAGGCUCACCAAGCCAACGAUCUGUAGCUGGUCUGAGAGGACGACCAGCCACACUGGGACUGAGACACGGCCCAGACUCCUACGGGAGGCAGCAGUGGGGAAUUUUGGACAAUGGGCGCAAGCCUGAUCCAGCAAUGCCGCGUGCAGGAAGAAGGCCUCGGUUGUAACUGCUUUGUACGGAACGAAACGGUACCGUGGUUAAUACCUGGGCGUAAUGACGGUACCGUAAGAGUAAGACACCGGCUAACUACGUAGCCAGCAGCCGA
RNAcentral lists this ribosomal RNA (495 nucleotides) under uncultured soil bacterium. RNAcentral describes it as "bacterial SSU rRNA". It matches the Rfam family "Bacterial small subunit ribosomal RNA", at positions 26 to 518 of the family's 1533-position model. The record is from RNAcentral.